GCAGCAGCUAGGAUGGGUGGCUGCCCAGAAAGCAAAGCCCCCAGCUUGGCAGACUCUGAGUGGGAAUGCACCGGAGGUGAUAGCGAGGGGUGGGUUUUCGGGGCUGUUUCCCGAUUCGAGUAGUCUGGCUUACAAUUUUGCGCUAUUAGCGAGCUCGCCGGCAACCAUCUUCUGGUGUGAUGUUCAGUUAACGAAAGAUGGACUUGGGGCGUGCCUGCCUGAUAUAAAGCUGGACAAUUGCACUAAUAUUGUCAACAUUUACCCCUCCGGGAAGAGUAGUUAUAGUGUCAAUGGUGCGCCGACGACUGGGUGGUUUUCGGUGGAUUUCAAUUCGACGGAGUUGUCACAAGUUUCUUUAAUCCAGGGAAUCUAUUCUCGAACGGACAAAUUUGAUACUAGCUUGCUUGCUAUCUUGGCUGUUG
Molecule: unclassified non-coding RNA, 422 nt
Filed under: Hevea brasiliensis (rubber tree)
Lineage: Eukaryota; Viridiplantae; Streptophyta; Magnoliopsida; Malpighiales; Euphorbiaceae
Source: RNAcentral